Aphidius gifuensis is the source of this 70-nucleotide small nucleolar RNA. RefSeq annotates it as small nucleolar RNA U18. NCBI's taxonomy places the organism in Eukaryota, Metazoa, Arthropoda, Insecta, Hymenoptera, Braconidae. The record is from RefSeq and is a predicted model, not a curated record. The transcript has a single exon.
AACAUGAUGAUUAUCUUUGGUCCGUGUUGCUGAAUUACAUUGAUUUUAUCAAUAACCAUUUCUGAUUAUA